Molecule: ribosomal RNA, 225 nt
Filed under: uncultured Methylophilus sp.
Lineage: Bacteria; Pseudomonadati; Pseudomonadota; Betaproteobacteria; Nitrosomonadales; Methylophilaceae
Description: partial 16S ribosomal RNA
Rfam family: Bacterial small subunit ribosomal RNA
Source: RNAcentral
UGCGCAGGCGGUUUUGUAAGUCAGAUGUGAAAUCCCCGAGCUCAACUUGGGAACUGCGUUUGAAACUGCAAGACUAGAAUAUGUCAGAGGGGGGUAGAAUUCCACGUGUAGCAGUGAAAUGCGUAGAGAUGUGGAGGAAUACCAAUGGCGAAGGCAGCCCCCUGGGAUAAUAUUGACGCUCAUGCACGAAAGCGUGGGGAGCAAACAGGAUUAGAUACCCCCGUA